CCUACGGGAGGCAGCAGUGAGGAAUAUUGGUCAAUGGACGAGAGUCUGAACCAGCCAAGUAGCGUGAAGGAUGACUGCCCUAUGGGUUGUAAACUUCUUUUAUAUGGGAAUAAAAUGUUCCACGUGUGGGAGUUUGUAUGUACCAUAUGAAUAAGGAUCGGCUAACUCCGUGCCAGCAGCCGCGGUAAUACGGAGGAUCCGAGCGUUAUCCGGAUUUCGUGGGUUUAAAGGGAGCGUAGGUGGAUUGUUAAGUUAGUUGUUAAAGUUUGCGGCUCAACCGUAAAAUUGCCGUUGAAACUGGCAGUCUUGAGUACAGUAGCGGUAGGCGGAAUUCAUGGUGUAGCGGUGAAAUGCUUAGAUAUCACGAAGAACUCCGAUUGCGAAGGCAGCUUACUGGACUGCAACUGACACUGAGGCACGAAAGUGUGGGUAUCAAACAGGAUUAGAUACCCGUGUAGUC
RNAcentral lists this ribosomal RNA (460 nucleotides) under uncultured bacterium. Its description in RNAcentral is "partial 16S ribosomal RNA". It matches the Rfam family "Bacterial small subunit ribosomal RNA", at positions 338 to 795 of the family's 1533-position model. The record is from RNAcentral.